Molecule: ribosomal RNA, 568 nt
Filed under: uncultured bacterium
Lineage: Bacteria
Description: partial 16S ribosomal RNA
Rfam family: Bacterial small subunit ribosomal RNA
Source: RNAcentral
UGGGGAAUUUUGGACAAUGGGCGAAAGCCUGAUCCAGCAAUGCCGCGUGUGUGAAGAAGGCCUUCGGGUUGUAAAGCACUUUUGUCCGGAAAGAAAUCCUUGGCUCUAAUACAGUCGGGGGAUGACGGUACCGGAAGAAUAAGCACCGGCUAACUACGUGCCAGCAGCCGCGGUAAUACGUAGGGUGCAAGCGUUAAUCGGAAUUACUGGGCGUAAAGCGUGCGCAGGCGGUUUGCUAAGACCGAUGUGAAAUCCCCGGGCUCAACCUGGGAACUGCAUUGGUGACUGGCAGGCUAGAGUAUGGCAGAGGGGGGUAGAAUUCCACGUGUAGCAGUGAAAUGCGUAGAGAUGUGGAGGAAUACCGAUGGCGAAGGCAGCCCCCUGGGCCAAAUACUGACGCUCAUGCACGAAAGCGUGGGGAGCAAACAGGAUUAGAUACCCUGGUAGUCCACGCCCUAAACGAUGUCAACUAGUUGUUGGGGACUUCAUUUCCUUAGUAACGUAGCUAACGCGUGAAGUUGACCGCCUGGGGAGUACGGUCGCAAGAUUAAAACUCAAAUGAAUUGAC